This 489-nucleotide ribosomal RNA is filed under the name uncultured bacterium. RNAcentral describes it as "partial 16S ribosomal RNA". It matches the Rfam family "Bacterial small subunit ribosomal RNA", at positions 28 to 507 of the family's 1533-position model. The record is from RNAcentral.
GACGAACGCUGGCGGCGUGCUUAACACAUGCAAGUCGAACGGUGAAGGGACCAGCUUGCUGGUUCUGGAUGAGUGGCGAACGGGUGAGUAACACGUGAGUAACCUGCCCCCUUCUUCUGGAUAACCGCAUGAAAGUGUGGCUAAUACGGGAUAUUCUGGGUCUGUCGCAUGGCGGGCCCGGGAAAGAUAUUGCUUCGGUGGGGGAUGGGCUCGCGGCCUAUCAGCUUGUUGGUGGGGUGAUGGCCUACCAAGGCGGUGACGGGUAGCCGGCCUGAGAGGGUGGACGGUCACACUGGGGCUGAGACACGGCCCAGACUCCUACGGGAGGCAGCAGUGGGGAAUAUUGCACAAUGGGCGCAAGCCUGAUGCAGCGACGCCGCGUGAGGGAUGGAGGCCUUCGGGUUGUAAACCUCUUUCGCCAGUGAAGCAGGCCUGCUCCUUGUGGGUGGGUUGACGGUAGCUGGAUAAGAAGCGCCGGCUAACUACGUG